CCUACGGGAGGCAGCAGUGAGGAAUAUUGGUCAAUGGACGAGAGUCUGAACCAGCCAAGUAGCGUGAAGGAUGACUGCCCUAUGGGUUGUAAACCUCUUUUAUCUGGGAAUAAAAUGUUCCACGUGUGGGGUUUUGUAUGUACCAUAUGAAUAAGGAUCGGCUAACUCCGUGCCAGCAGCCGCGGUAAUACGGAGGAUCCGAGCGUUAUCCGGAUUUAUUGGGUUUAAAGGGUGCGUAGGCGGUUUGUUAAGUCAGUGGUGAAAGUUUGCGGCUCAACCGUAAAAUUGCAGUUGAAACUGGCAGUCUUGAGUAGAGUAGAGGUAGGCGGAAUUCGUGGUGUAGCGGUGAAAUGCAUAGAUAUCACGAAGAACUCCGAUUGCGAAGGCAGCGCACUGGACUGCAACUGACACUGAGGCUCGAAAGUGUGGGUAUCAAACAGGAUUAGAUACCCCGGUAGUC
This 460-nucleotide ribosomal RNA is filed under the name uncultured bacterium. RNAcentral describes it as "partial 16S ribosomal RNA". It matches the Rfam family "Bacterial small subunit ribosomal RNA", at positions 338 to 795 of the family's 1533-position model. The record is from RNAcentral.